This 161-nucleotide ribosomal RNA is filed under the name uncultured bacterium. RNAcentral describes it as "partial 16S rRNA". It matches the Rfam family "Bacterial small subunit ribosomal RNA", at positions 355 to 510 of the family's 1533-position model. The record is from RNAcentral.
UAGGGAAUCUUCCACAACGGCGAAGCCUGAUGGAGCAACGCCGCGUGUGUGAUGAAGGGUUUCGGCUCGUAAAACACUGUUGUAAGAGAAGAAUGACAUUGAGAGUAACUGUUCAAUGUGUGACGGUAUCUUACCAGAAAGGAACGGCUAAAUACGUGCCA